This 72-nucleotide transfer RNA is filed under the name Segniliparus rugosus. Its description in RNAcentral is "tRNA-Gln". It matches the Rfam family "tRNA". From Rfam's summary of the family: Transfer RNA (tRNA) molecules are approximately 80 nucleotides in length. Their secondary structure includes four short double-helical elements and three loops (D, anti-codon, and T loops). RNAcentral also lists the same sequence under 1 other name. Lineage: Bacteria; Bacillati; Actinomycetota; Actinomycetes; Mycobacteriales; Segniliparaceae. The record is from RNAcentral.
UCCGCCGUAGUGUAAUUGGCAGCACGACAGGUUUUGGUCCUGUUUGUCUAGGUUCGAGUCCUGGCGGCGGAA